Molecule: small nuclear RNA, 105 nt
Organism: Ochotona princeps (American pika)
Lineage: Eukaryota; Metazoa; Chordata; Mammalia; Lagomorpha; Ochotonidae
Source: Ensembl
GUGCUUGCUUCAGCACAUAUACUAAAAAUUGGGACGAAUAGAGAAGAUUCGCAUGGCUGCUGCAACAAGGAUGACAUGCAAAUUCGUGAAGCGUUCCAUAUUUAA